This 21-nucleotide microRNA is filed under the name Lotus japonicus. Its description in RNAcentral is "lja-miR11096b-3p". Lineage: Eukaryota; Viridiplantae; Streptophyta; Magnoliopsida; Fabales; Fabaceae. The record is from miRBase by way of RNAcentral.
AUUUUGAAGUUUGGGGACGAU